Long non-coding RNA from Mauremys reevesii (Reeves's turtle), 574 nucleotides. RefSeq lists it as uncharacterized. The transcript is spliced from 4 exons. Lineage: Eukaryota; Metazoa; Chordata; Testudines; Geoemydidae. The record is from RefSeq and is a predicted model, not a curated record.
AGGCAGGGAAACUACCUCUCAGAAGUUCGAAUGGUUGUCUACUGUAAUCAAGUAUUGCUUUUCAUUGAAGGUGUCACAUCCUUUUAUCUAGGAGCAAAGCUGCGUAUUCAGUCCUGGCCAGUAAACACGUUCUUGAGUCCAGUUAAGACAGAGGGCUUCACCAUUACUGGCAGAAGGAAGGGGAAUAACCGUCUAUCAGCUGCUUCCUCCAUCCAGAUCUGAAAGUUGCAUGGUAGCUUUGCAGAGUUGGGGGACUGGAUCAGGUCCUUACGGUGGCCCAUCAGUCUCCUUAGAGAUUGAUCAUUUGCAAUUACAUUGCACCUUUCAUCUACAAGGCCACCUCCUGUGUCAGACAGGGAAACAGAGGUAUGGAGAAGCUUGAAUGAGCUAUACUUUAUCCAUCUCAAAGGUUCACUGAACUAUAAAAGAAAGGGGGCAGAGAACCCCACAUUAUCUCUUUCACCGAAGACAAAGAGCAGCACCUUGGGGCUUCUGGAGCAACUCCUGACCAAGGUGGGGUCAGCCACCCCCAUCAUGCUGGAAGACUGUGGAUGAGAAAAGCCAUCUUGAACAA